CAGGAAGGGGCUCGCAGGCGCCCCGCACGCGUCUCGUCACUAUUGUUUAAUCGAGAAUCAGCAACGCCUCCCGCCGGUUUCCACCCUACGCCGGAAUGGACUUUCAGAACCCACUGCGGCCGCAAGACAGCCCGCAAGAGCUGGUCAAAAUGCCCUCAGAUGAAAAUACGAGUUCUCCGAUCGCGUUGGACCGGAGCGGGCCACGUCCGAGCUGCUUGCAGAGGGAAACCAUCGGAAAUAAUGAAUAGCCGCUCCAUGCAAAUUAUUCAGACAGUUUAGCGUCGGUAGCCGCGAGAAAUAUAUAAAGAACACGAGUCAAAUGACAUUAAUAAUUGUUUCUGAAUUCUGUAUUGAUUUCGCGGCAGGCCGC
RNAcentral lists this long non-coding RNA (370 nucleotides) under Homo sapiens (human). RNAcentral's name for it is "non-protein coding lnc-NDUFS6-2:2". Lineage: Eukaryota; Metazoa; Chordata; Mammalia; Primates; Hominidae. The record is from RNAcentral.